GAUGAACGCUGGCGGCGUGCCUAAUACAUGCAAGUCGAGCGAACAGAUGAGAAGCUUGCUUCUCUGAUGUUAGCGGCGGACGGGUGAGUAACACGUGGGUAACCUACCUAUAAGACUGGGAUAACUCCGGGAAACCGGGGCUAAUACCGGAUAAUAUUUUGAACCGCAUGGUUCAAUAGUGAAAGACGGUUUCGGCUGUCACUUAUAGAUGGACCCGCGCCGUAUUAGCUAGUUGGUAAGGUAACGGCUUACCAAGGCGACGAUACGUAGCCGACCUGGGAGGGUGAUCGGCCACACUGGAACUGGGACACGGUCCAGACUCCGACGGGAGGCAGCAGUAGGGAAUCUUCCGCAAUGGGCGAAAGCCUGACGGAGCAACGCCGCGUGAGUGAUGAAGGUCUUCGGAUCGUAAAACUCUGUUGUUAGGGAAGAACAAAUUUGUUAGUAACUGAACAAGUCUUGACGGUACCUAACCAGAAAGCCACGGCUAACUACGCGCCAGCCGCCGCCGUAA
Molecule: ribosomal RNA, 514 nt
Filed under: uncultured bacterium
Lineage: Bacteria
Description: partial 16S ribosomal RNA
Rfam family: Bacterial small subunit ribosomal RNA
Source: RNAcentral